RNAcentral lists this ribosomal RNA (497 nucleotides) under uncultured bacterium. Its description in RNAcentral is "partial 16S ribosomal RNA". It matches the Rfam family "Bacterial small subunit ribosomal RNA", at positions 28 to 507 of the family's 1533-position model. The record is from RNAcentral.
GAUGAACGCUGGCGGCGUGCCUAAUACAUGCAAGUCGAGCGAACAGACGAGGAGCUUGCUCCUCUGACGUUAGCGGCGGACGGGUGAGUAACACGUGGAUAACCUACCUAUAAGACUGGGAUAACUUCGGGAAACCGGAGCUAAUACCGGAUAAUAUAUUGAACCGCAUGGUUCAAUAGUGAAAGACGGUUUUGCUGUCACUUAUAGAUGGAUCCGCGCCGCAUUAGCUAGUUGGUAAGGUAACGGCUUACCAAGGCAACGAUGCGUAGCCGACCUGAGAGGGUGAUCGGCCACACUGGAACUGAGACACGGUCCAGACUCCUACGGGAGGCAGCAGUAGGGAAUCUUCAGCAAUGGGCGAAAGCGUGACGGAGCAACGCCGCGUGAGUGAUGAAGGUCUUCGGAUCGUAAAACUCUGUUAUUAGGGAAGAACAAAUGUGUAAGUAACUAUGCACGUCUUGACGGUACCUAAUCAGAAAGCCACGGCUAACUACGUG